Molecule: ribosomal RNA, 498 nt
Filed under: uncultured bacterium
Lineage: Bacteria
Description: partial 16S ribosomal RNA
Rfam family: Bacterial small subunit ribosomal RNA
Source: RNAcentral
GAUGAACGCUAGCGGCGGGCCUAAUACAUGCAAGUCGAACGAUAGAAGAGAGCUUGCUCUCUUCGAAAGUGGCGCACGGGUGCGUAACGCGUAUGCAACCUACCUUAAUCAGGGGGAUAGACCGAAGAAAUUCGGAUUAACACCGCAUAAAAUCACAGUACAGCAUUGUACAAUGAUCAAAUAUUUAUCGGAUUAAGAUGGGCAUGCGUGACAUUAGCUAGUUGGCGGGGUAACGGCCCACCAAGGCGACGAUGUCUAGGGGAUCUGAGAGGAUGACCCCCCACACUGGUACUGAGACACGGACCAGACUCCUACGGGAGGCAGCAGUAAGGAAUAUUGGUCAAUGGAGGCAACUCUGAACCAGCCAUGCCGCGUGCAGGAAGACGGCCCUCUGGGUUGUAAACUGCUUUUAUUCGGGAAUAAACCUCAUUACGUGUAGUGAGCUGAAUGUACCGAAGGAAUAAGGAUCGGCUAACUCCGUGCCAGCCGCCGCUGUAA